RNAcentral lists this ribosomal RNA (425 nucleotides) under uncultured bacterium. Its description in RNAcentral is "partial 16S ribosomal RNA". It matches the Rfam family "Bacterial small subunit ribosomal RNA", at positions 354 to 796 of the family's 1533-position model. The record is from RNAcentral.
GUGGGGAAUAUUGGACAAUGGGCGCAAGCCUGAUCCAGCCAUGCCGCGUGAGUGAUGAAGGCCUUAGGGUUGUAAAGCUCUUUCGCCGACGAAGAUAAUGACGGUAGUCGGAGAAGAAGCCCCGGCUAACUUCGUGCCAGCAGCCGCGGUAAUACGAAGGGGGCUAGCGUUGUUCGGAAUCACUGGGCGUAAAGCGCACGUAGGCGGACAUUUAAGUCAGGGGUGAAAGCCUGGAGCUCAACUCCAGAACUGCCCUUGAUACUGGGUGUCUCGAGUCCGGAAGAGGUAAGUGGAACUGCGAGUGUAGAGGUGAAAUUCGUAGAUAUUCGCAAGAACACCAGUGGCGAAGGCGGCUUACUGGUCCGGUACUGACGCUGAGGUGCGAAAGCGUGGGGAGCAAACAGGAUUAGAAACCCCGGUAGUCC